This 230-nucleotide ribosomal RNA is filed under the name Silene abyssinica. The record is from RNAcentral. Lineage: Eukaryota; Viridiplantae; Streptophyta; Magnoliopsida; Caryophyllales; Caryophyllaceae.
UCACGCAUCGCAUCUCCCCAAAAACCACCUAGGUGGAUGGGAAGGAGGAUGGUUUCCCGUUGCUCACCGGCCACGGUUAGCCUAAAAUAGGAGCCCUCGGCAUUGGGUUGCCGCGGCGAUAGGUGGUGAACAAGGCUUAGGCCAAGCAAGCAACCCGUCGUGCAACGCAAUGUCAACUUGAGCUCGAAGGACCCUUUAUUGUUGCCCAAAAGCAANAAAACCGUUGCGAC